GAGGGUAUAACUCAGUGGCAGAGUGUAUGCCUAGCAUGCAUGAGGUCCUGCGUUCAAUCCCCAUCACCUCCA
This 72-nucleotide transfer RNA is filed under the name Camelus bactrianus (Bactrian camel). It matches the Rfam family "tRNA". From Rfam's summary of the family: Transfer RNA (tRNA) molecules are approximately 80 nucleotides in length. Their secondary structure includes four short double-helical elements and three loops (D, anti-codon, and T loops). The record is from Rfam by way of RNAcentral. RNAcentral also lists the same sequence under 1 other name. Lineage: Eukaryota; Metazoa; Chordata; Mammalia; Artiodactyla; Camelidae.